ACACAUGCAAGUCGAACGGGAUCCAAGUAGUAGCAAUACUACGGAAGAUCUAGUGGCGAACGGGUGAGUAACACGUGAGGAACCUACCCCGGACUCAGGGAUAACAGACGGAAACAUCUGCUAAUACCUGAUGCCGUCGGAGCAUCACAUGGUGCACUGACGAAAGAAUCUCGGUUCGGGAGGGCCUCGCGGCCUAUCAGCUUGUUGGUGGGGUAACGGCCUACCAAGGCGUCGACGGGUAGCUGGUCUGAGAGGAUGAUCAGCCACACUGGGACUGAGACACGGCCCAGACUCCUACGGGAGGCAGCAGUGGGGAAUCUUGCGCAAUGGGCGAAAGCCUGACGCAGCAACGCCGCGUGCGGGAUGAAGGCCCUAGGGUUGUAAACCGCUUUCAGUAGGAACGAAAAUGACGGUACCUGCAGAAGAAGGUGCGGCCAACUACGUGCCAGCAGCCGCGGUGACACGUAGGCACCAAGCGUUGUCCGGAUUUAUUGGGCGUAAAAAGCUCGUAGGCGGUUUAGUAAGUCGGGUGUGAAAACUCUGGGCUUAACCCA
This 554-nucleotide ribosomal RNA is filed under the name uncultured bacterium. Its description in RNAcentral is "bacterial SSU rRNA". It matches the Rfam family "Bacterial small subunit ribosomal RNA", at positions 51 to 616 of the family's 1533-position model. The record is from RNAcentral.